AGAGUUUGAUCCUGGCUCAGGAUGAACGCUGGCGGCGUGCCUAACACAUGCAAGUCGAACGAGCACUUCGGUGCGAGUGGCGGACGGGUGAGUAACGCGUGGAUAACCUGCCUUAUACAGGGGGAUAACAGCGGGAAACUGCUGUUAAUACCGCAUAAGCGCACAGUACCGCAUGGUACAGUGUGAAAAGCUCCGGCGGUAUAAGAUGGAUCCGCGUCUGAUUAGCCAGUUGGCGGGGUAACGGCCCACCACAGCGACGAUCAGUAGCCGACUUGAGAGAGUGACCGGCCACAUUGGGACUGACACACGGCCCAAACUCCUACGGGAGGCCGCAGUGGGGAAUAUUGCACAAUGGGGGAAACCCUGAUGCAGCGACCCCGCGUGACUGAAGACGUAUUUCGGUAUGUAAAGCUCUAUCAGCAGGGAAGAAAAUGACGGUACCUGACUAAGAAGCCCCGGCUAAAUACGUGCCAGCAGCCGCGGUAAUACGUAUGGGGCAAGCGUUAUCCGGAUUUACUGGGUGUAAAGGGAGCGCAGGCGGCAAGGCAAGUCAGAAGUGAAAACCCGGGGCUCAACCCCGUGAUUGCUUUUGAGACUGUUUAGCUGGAGUGCAGGAGGGGCAAGCGGAAUGGGUAGUGUAAUGCGAGAUGAGAAGAGCGUAGAGUAUUAGGUAAGAACAGUGGUGGGGAAUGGUGUGCUUAGUGGACUGGUGACUGAACGCUUAGUGUGGAAGAGAAUGGGGAGCAAAAAAGAUAUAGAAUACGCUGAGUAGGAACGGUGGUGAAGGAUGGUUAGUGAAUGUUGGCAUUAAAAGGAUAUCGGUGUUGGCAAGCAAACGCAAGAAGUAUUCCACGUGGGGAGAGCGUUCGCAAGAAUGAAACUCAAAGGAAUUGACGGGGACCCGCACAAGCGGUGGAGCAUGUGGUUUAAUUGGAAGCAACGCGAAGAACCUUACCAAAUCUUGACAUCCCUCUGACAGUAUGUGUAAUGCAUAUUUCCUUCGGGACAGAGGAGACAGGUGGUGCAUGGUUGUCGUCAGCUCGUGUCGUGAGAUGUUGGGUUAAGUCCCGCAACGAGCGCAACCCUUAUCCUAAGUAGCCAGCAGUAAGAUGGGCACUCUUGGGAGACUGCCCGGGAUAACCGGGAGGAAGGCGGGGAUGACGUCAAAUCAUCAUGCCCCUUAUGAUUUGGGCUACACACGUGCUACAAUGGCGUAAACAAAGAGAAGCGAGGCAGUGAUGCGGAGCAAAUCUCAAAAAUAACGUCUCAGUUCGGAUUGUAGUCUGCAACUCGACUACAUGAAGCUGGAAUCGCUAGUAAUCGCGAAUCAGCAUGUCGCGGUGAAUACGUUCCCGGGUCUUGUACACACCGCCCGUCACACCAUGGGAGUCGAAAAUGCCCGAAGUCAGUGACCCAACCGCAAGGAGGGAGCUGCCGAAGGCAGGUUCGGUAACUGGGGUG
RNAcentral lists this ribosomal RNA (1461 nucleotides) under uncultured rumen bacterium. RNAcentral's name for it is "16S ribosomal RNA". It matches the Rfam family "Bacterial small subunit ribosomal RNA". The record is from RNAcentral.